CGUAGCUCAGCUGGAAGAGCAACUGCCUCCUAAGCAGUAGGUCGGAGGUUCAAAUCCUCUC
RNAcentral lists this transfer RNA (61 nucleotides) under human gut metagenome. It matches the Rfam family "tRNA", at positions 7 to 64 of the family's 71-position model. Rfam says of the family: Transfer RNA (tRNA) molecules are approximately 80 nucleotides in length. The record is from RNAcentral.